GCUGGCGCUUCCGCUCACUGCCAGGCCGCGCCGUGGACACUGGUCGUAGCCUACUGUUCGAGGUCGAAUUGAAUGAAGAGCAUUGGGUUGAACGUCAAAGUUCGCCCUGCUGUGUGCAGUUAAACUGCUAAAGUGGCGCUGUAAACCAGCCCGUGUUCCUGGUAGCGAGAAUCGCCGUGGCGUGGUGGCUCCCCGGUGAUGGUUCUGAACUAUAUGCCUGCCAGUACAUUCCAAGCUAUCACAUCCGUGAUCUUCGACCAGUGAUCAGCGGUGCGCGAUGCGUCCUUCCGUCAGCUGCUGUUUUGAUUGAGAGAAGAUUCAGCCCGUUUUGUUUUGUUUUGUUUUAUUUGAGUUACAUGUGGUCUACUUUAUGUUUGUUUCGUCGUGCUUGCGCUGUGUUUACGGUGGGUGGCUGUUGUUGCAACUCCGCCUCCCCUCCCCUGCACAGUGUGCUUGUGCGCCGGCGCGCGCUCUCCGGCCCAAUUAACCGCUGAAUAGUAUCCAGUGGCAGCACGAAACCCCAUGGACUGACCCGUGUGCUGUGCCUUAUAUUUAACUUUCCCCUUGUGUGCUGUGUAUUGCAUGUUUCUUCUUAGACGUGUAGUGUGUGCCUUUUGAUUUCAUUUGUGACUUUAUUUUAAGUGUGAUUUGCGUUGCUUUAAUUCUCUUGUCAUCUGGGGAUCAUCGGUUGCCUAUUGGUUCCUGUAAAGCCUAUCUGCGGCUAGGAGUGUGUGUGUCGUCUGUGUGAAUGUGAACCCUUUUUAAUGUUGCCUCUUUGUACAGUGUUGCAUUUGUGGAGAUGUAUAUAGCUUGGUCCAAUAUGUAAUUAAUAAAAACUAUUGUAAUUGGGA
Molecule: long non-coding RNA, 851 nt
Organism: Engraulis encrasicolus (European anchovy)
Lineage: Eukaryota; Metazoa; Chordata; Actinopteri; Clupeiformes; Engraulidae
Exons: 3
Source: RefSeq, a predicted model, not a curated record